Molecule: transfer RNA, 66 nt
Filed under: Sceptuchus simplex
Lineage: Eukaryota; Metazoa; Arthropoda; Insecta; Mantodea; Nanomantidae
Description: tRNA-Trp
Source: RNAcentral
AAGACUUUAAGUUAAAUAAACUAAUAUCCUUCAAAGCUAUAAAUAAAGAGUACUCUUUAAGUCUUA